This 138-nucleotide small nucleolar RNA is filed under the name Ornithorhynchus anatinus (platypus). Lineage: Eukaryota; Metazoa; Chordata; Mammalia; Monotremata; Ornithorhynchidae. The record is from RNAcentral.
CUCCUCUCAGAGUCACACCUGGAGAGUUUCCAGUACUCUACCAGUCUCAAUUACAGGAGGGAGAGUCAAGCAAACAUAUACCCAUUCCAUUCCUAUCUUGGGCAGUGGCUAGUGAGUGGAAGGCAAUCUGUUACAAGU